RNAcentral lists this ribosomal RNA (704 nucleotides) under uncultured bacterium. RNAcentral describes it as "bacterial SSU rRNA". It matches the Rfam family "Bacterial small subunit ribosomal RNA", at positions 52 to 729 of the family's 1533-position model. The record is from RNAcentral.
AGCGAGCUUGCCUAGAUGAUUUUAGUGCUUGCACUAAAUGAAACUAGAUACAAGCGAGCGGCGGACGGGUGAGUAACACGUGGGUAACCUGCCCAAGAGACUGGGAUAACACCUGGAAACAGAUGCUAAUACCGGAUAACAACACUAGACGCAUGUCUAGAGUUUGAAAGAUGGUUCUGCUAUCACUUUUGGAUGGACCUGCGGUGCAUUAGCUAGUUGGUAAGGUAACGGCUUACCAAGGCAAUGAUGCAUAGCCGAGUUGAGAGACUGAUCGGCCACAUUGGGACUGAGACACGGCCCAAACUCCUACGGGAGGCAGCAGUAGGGAAUCUUCCACAAUGGACGAAAGUCUGAUGGAGCAACGCCGCGUGAGUGAAGAAGGGUUUCGGCUCGUAAAGCUCUGUUGGUAGUGAAGAAAGAUAGAGGUAGUAACUGGCCUUUAUUUGACGGUAAUUACUUAGAAAGUCACGGCUAACUACGUGCCAGCAGCCGCGGUAAUACGUAGGUGGCAAGCGUUGUCCGGAUUUAUUGGGCGUAAAGCGAGUGCAGGCGGUUCAAUAAGUCUGAUGUGAAAGCCUUCGGCUCAACCGGAGAAUUGCACCAGAAACUGUUGAACUUGAGUGCAGAAGAGGAGAGUGGAACUCCAUGUGUAGCGGUGAAAAGCGUAGAUAUAUGGAAGAACACCAGUGGCGAAGGCGGCUCUC